GAAAGAAAGGGCAAUGAGUGUGUGGACUUGGGUCUGUCAACAACGAGCAAUAAAGAAAUCAUGUCAGAAGAGCAGUAUGCAGAAAGUUAUGUGAACUUCUAUAGCUUUGCUCGAAUUGCAUCAUCAGUUGUUGAAGAGUUAACAAAGAAAUCACCUGGUAAGACUGGUCAAGAUGCUAAAAAAACGGUGGAUGAAAUAAUCUCAGCGCAGCUGAAGGCCAUAUCUAGCAAAUCUAUCGAUUUUUGCUGGCCCAAUGUUCAGAAUAUGAAGAUUGAUGCUAGGAAAGAAGAUUGUGGGUGGUGCAUCUCUUGCAAAGUUCCGGAGUGUGAGAAGGACUGCUUGUUCAUCCAGAAUAGCACAGGACCUGCUCCAGAAAGUUUUUCUAGUGAUGCAUUGGGUGUUCAUUCCAGGAGGAACAGGGAAAGCCAUCUUGUUAAUGUCCUUUGCAGCAUAUUGAGCACUGAGGAUCGUCUUCAUGGACUUCUGUCAGGUCCUUGGUUGAAUCCACACCACUCCCAAAAUUGGCGCAAAGAUGUUACUGAAGCACAUGAUGUAGAUACACUGAGAGCUUUUUUGCUUACAUUAGAGUCGAACUUGCGGCCUCUAG
RNAcentral lists this unclassified non-coding RNA (607 nucleotides) under Hevea brasiliensis (rubber tree). Lineage: Eukaryota; Viridiplantae; Streptophyta; Magnoliopsida; Malpighiales; Euphorbiaceae. The record is from RNAcentral.